UAGCCUAGUGGUUAAGGCUAUGGAUCGCCAAUCCGGAGGCGGCGGGUUUGAUUCCCGU
This is a non-coding RNA of Aedes albopictus (Asian tiger mosquito), 58 nucleotides long. The record is from Rfam. NCBI's taxonomy places the organism in Eukaryota, Metazoa, Arthropoda, Insecta, Diptera, Culicidae.